AGGUGGAAUUCUCAGAUUUGUUAAAGACUAACUUAUGCGAAGGCAUUUGCCAAGGAUGUUUUCAUUGAUCAAGAACGAAAGU
Molecule: ribosomal RNA, 82 nt
Filed under: uncultured eukaryote
Lineage: Eukaryota
Description: partial small subunit ribosomal RNA
Rfam family: Eukaryotic small subunit ribosomal RNA
Source: RNAcentral